RNAcentral lists this ribosomal RNA (278 nucleotides) under uncultured bacterium. RNAcentral's name for it is "partial 16S ribosomal RNA". It matches the Rfam family "Bacterial small subunit ribosomal RNA", at positions 44 to 334 of the family's 1533-position model. The record is from RNAcentral.
GCGCCUAACACAUGCAAGUCGAACGAGAAAGCGGGGGCAACCUCGUGAGUAAAGUGGCGUACGGGUGAGUAACACGUGGAUUAUCUACCCUGGAGUGGGGAAUAACGCUGGGAAACCGGCGCUAAUACCGCAUAUUCCCGAGAGGGGAAAGCAGCAAUGCGCUCGAGGAGGAGUCCGCGGCCGAUUAGCUUGUUGGCAGGGUAAAAGCCUACCAAGGCUGUGAUCGGUAGCCGGCCUGAGAGGGCACACGGCCACACUGGCACUGAAACACGGGCCAG